GCCGGGCGCGGUGGCUCACGCCUGUAAUCCCAGCACUUUGGGAGGCCGAGAUGAGUGGAUCACCUGAGGUCAGGAGUUCCAGACCAGCCUGACCAACAUGGUGAAACCCCAUCUCUA
Molecule: non-coding RNA, 117 nt
Organism: Pan troglodytes (chimpanzee)
Lineage: Eukaryota; Metazoa; Chordata; Mammalia; Primates; Hominidae
Rfam family: Metazoan signal recognition particle RNA
About the family: The signal recognition particle (SRP) is a universally conserved ribonucleoprotein. It is involved in the co-translational targeting of proteins to membranes.
Source: Rfam